UACGUAGGAGGCGAGCGUUGUCCGGAAUUACUGGGCGUAAAGCGCGCGUAGGCGGUUUCUUGCGUAGGCGGUGAAAGCCCCCGGCUCACCUGGGGGAGUGCCGCCUAAACGGGGAGACUUUGAGGGCGGUAGGGGCUGGCGGAACGCCCGGAGUAGCGGUGAAAUGCGUUGAGAUCGGGCAGAACACCAGUGGCGAAGGCGGCCGGCUGGGCCGACCCUGACGCUGAGGCGCGAAAGCCAGGGGAGCGAACGG
RNAcentral lists this ribosomal RNA (253 nucleotides) under uncultured bacterium. RNAcentral's name for it is "partial 16S ribosomal RNA". It matches the Rfam family "Bacterial small subunit ribosomal RNA", at positions 524 to 775 of the family's 1533-position model. The record is from RNAcentral.